UACGUAGGUGGCAAGCGUUGUCCGGAUUUAUUGGGUUUAAAGGGCGCGUAGGCGGCCCUGUAAGUCAGUGCUGAAAUAUCCCAGCUUAACUGGGAGGGUGGCAUUGAUACUGCGGGGCUAGAGUACAGAUGAGGUAGGCGGAAUUGACGGUGUAGCGGUGAAAUGCUUAGAUAUCGUCAAGAACACCUAUAGCGAAGGCAGCUUACUAGGCUGUAACUGACGCUGAGGCACGAAAGUGUGGGGAGCAAACAGG
This 253-nucleotide ribosomal RNA is filed under the name uncultured bacterium. Its description in RNAcentral is "partial 16S ribosomal RNA". It matches the Rfam family "Bacterial small subunit ribosomal RNA", at positions 524 to 776 of the family's 1533-position model. The record is from RNAcentral.